Molecule: ribosomal RNA, 402 nt
Filed under: uncultured bacterium
Lineage: Bacteria
Description: bacterial SSU rRNA
Rfam family: Bacterial small subunit ribosomal RNA
Source: RNAcentral
GGGAAUAUUGCGCAAUGGAGGAAACUCUGACGCAGUGACGCCGCGUGCAGGAAGAAGGUUUUCGGAUUGUAAACUGCUUUAGACAGGGAAGAAACAAGACAGUACCUGUAGAAUAAGCUCCGGCUAACUACGUGCCAGCAGCCGCGGUAAUACGUAGGGGGCAAGCGUUAUCCGGAUUUACUGGGUGUAAAGGGAGCGUAGGUGGCAGGGCAAGUCAGAUGUGAAAACCCGGGGCUCAACCCCGGGAGUGCAUUUGAAACUGUCCAGCUGGAGUGCAGGAGAGGUAAGCGGAAUUCCUAGUGUAGCGGUGAAAUGCAUAGAUAUUAGGAGGAACACCAGUGGCGAAGGCGGCUUACUGGACUGUAACUGACACUGAGGCUCGAAAGCGUGGGGAGCAAACAG